This 464-nucleotide ribosomal RNA is filed under the name uncultured Methanomicrobiales archaeon. Its description in RNAcentral is "bacterial SSU rRNA". It matches the Rfam family "Archaeal small subunit ribosomal RNA", at positions 875 to 1338 of the family's 1478-position model. Lineage: Archaea; Methanobacteriati; Methanobacteriota; Methanomicrobia; Methanomicrobiales. The record is from RNAcentral.
AGCACCACAACAGGUGGAGCCUGCGGUUUAAUCGGACUCAACGCCGGGAAACUCACCAGAUAAGACAGCUGAAUGAUAGUCGGGCUGAAGACUCUACUUGACUAGCUGAGAGGAGGUGCAUGGCCGUCGUCAGUUCGUACUGUGAAGCAUCCUGUUAAGUCAGGCAACGAGCGAGACCCACGCCAACAGUUGCCAGCUCGUCCUCCGGGAUGGUGGGGACACUGUUGGGACCGCCUCUGCUAAAGAGGAGGAAGGAAUGGGCAACGGUAGGUCAGCAUGCCCCGAAUUAUCUGGGCUACACGCGGGCUACAAUGGGUGGGACAAUGGGUAUCGACACCGAAAGGUGAAGGCAAUCUCCUAAACCCAUCCGUAGUUCGGAUUGUGGGCUGCAACUCGCCCGCAUGAAGCUGGAAUCUGUAGUAAUCGUGUCUCAAAAUGGCACGGUGAAUAUGUCCCUGCUCCUU